Long non-coding RNA from Ixodes scapularis (black-legged tick), 312 nucleotides. RefSeq lists it as uncharacterized. NCBI's taxonomy places the organism in Eukaryota, Metazoa, Arthropoda, Arachnida, Ixodida, Ixodidae. The record is from RefSeq and is a predicted model, not a curated record. The transcript is spliced from 3 exons.
GAAGCUUCGUUGAACAGAAGAGAGAAGAAAGCGAUCGCCACUCGCAUCACGACACGACUACUACUCACGCUGUCAAUUAGACAACGACCAUGAGUUUCCCGCUAUCCUUCGGAUCCACCACUUCCAGUAGGACUAUGGAGCUCGAUCAUCAGACUGUCAGCAGGUGGACAAUGUACGAGACCGUGAAGACCGCAUUCCCUGUACUGGAGAGGGGAUGUAGUUCCGCGUCUACGUGCGGGCUACUGUUAAUGCAUCGCGUCUUAACUGCAGUUAAUGCGAUACUUUUUGUUGUGGGACUUGAAAUUGUCGAGA